AAUCCAUAGGUUAAUGAGGCGAACCGGGGGAACUGAAACAUCUAAGUACCCCGAGGAAAAGAAAUCAACCGAGAUUCCCCCAGUAGCGGCGAGCGAACGGGGAGGAGCCCAGAGCCUGAAUCAGCAUGUGUGUUAGUGGAAGCGUCUGGAAAGGCGCGCGAUACAGGGUGACAGCCCCGUACACAAAAGCGCAUGUGCUGUGAGCUCGAUGAGUAGGGCGGGACACGUGGUAUCCUGUCUGAAUAUGGGGGGACCAUCCUCCAAGGCUAAAUACUCCUGACUGACCGAUAGUGAACCAGUACCGUGAGGGAAAGGCGAAAAGAACCCCGGCGAGGGGAGUGAAAAAGAACCUGAAACCGUGUACGUACAAGCAGUGGGAGCACAGGUUUACCUGUGUGACUGCGUACCUUUUGUAUAAUGGGUCAGCGACUUAUAUUCUGUAGCAAGGUUAACCGAAUAGGGGAGCCGUAGGGAAACC
Molecule: ribosomal RNA, 478 nt
Filed under: Salmonella enterica subsp. enterica serovar Muenchen
Lineage: Bacteria; Pseudomonadati; Pseudomonadota; Gammaproteobacteria; Enterobacterales; Enterobacteriaceae
Also listed under: 3 other names
Description: partial 23S ribosomal RNA
Rfam family: Bacterial large subunit ribosomal RNA
Source: RNAcentral